UGAGGAAUAUUGGUCAAUGGACGAGAGUCUGAACCAGCCAAGUAGCGUGAAGGAUGAAGGUCCUACGGAUUGUAAACUUCUUUUAUAAGGGAAUAAACCCUCCCACGUGUGGGAGCUUGUAUGUACCUUAUGAAUAAGCAUCGGCUAACUCCGUGCCAGCAGCCGCGGUAAUACGGAGGAUGCGAGCGUUAUCCGGAUUUAUUGGGUUUAAAGGGAGCGCAGACGGGUCGUUAAGUCAGCUGUGAAAGUUUGGGGCUCAACCUUAAAAUUGCAGUUGAUACUGGCGUCCUUGAGUGCGGUUGAGGUGUGCGGAAUUCGUGGUGUAGCGGUGAAAUGCUUAGAUAUCACGAAGAACUCCGAUUGCGAAGGCAGCACACUAAGCCGUAACUGACGUUCAUGCUCGAAAGUGUGGGUAUCAAACAGG
RNAcentral lists this ribosomal RNA (424 nucleotides) under uncultured Bacteroides sp. Its description in RNAcentral is "bacterial SSU rRNA". It matches the Rfam family "Bacterial small subunit ribosomal RNA", at positions 355 to 776 of the family's 1533-position model. The record is from RNAcentral. Lineage: Bacteria; Pseudomonadati; Bacteroidota; Bacteroidia; Bacteroidales; Bacteroidaceae.